Molecule: ribosomal RNA, 254 nt
Filed under: uncultured bacterium
Lineage: Bacteria
Description: partial 16S ribosomal RNA
Rfam family: Bacterial small subunit ribosomal RNA
Source: RNAcentral
UACGGGGGGAGCAAGCGUUGUUCGGAUUUACUGGGCGUAAAGGGCGCGUAGGCGGCCACCGCAAGUCGACUGUGAAAUCUCCGGGCUUAACCCGGAACGGUCAGCCGAUACUGCGGGGCUAGAGUGCAGAAGGGGCAACUGGAAUUCUCGGUGUAGCGGUGAAAUGCGCAGAUAUCAGGAGGAACACCAAUGGCGAAGGCAGCUCGCUGGGACGGUACUGACGCUGAGGCGCGAAAGCGUGGGGAGCAAACAGG